CUGGACUUAGGGGCCAGCAAAAGCUCGGAAGCUGCCGGUGCACUGUUGCUCGGCAGUGGAGACUCCUCGCUGCAAUGGGAGGCCUGGAGGGCCGAUGAGGCAAGCCUUCUAGCUGAACGGGAGAGCUCAAUGCUGCUCAGACCCUGGGUUUGAUUUGUCACGCUAUAUUGUUGAGGGACAGGAGGUACUAGGAGGUAUGCCCAGAAAACGGGAGUGGUGACAGGUGCGGCUUAGAAAGGUGGAGGCAGGCAGGGCUUGAGUGCUAAAAGCUAAACCUGUGUGCUUCUCUCCCUCUCUUGGUCAGUCAUCAUGUGAGUAUGAUCUCUGCUCUACUUUCUCCUUCUUCUCUCCUCCAUCUCUCACUUUCUCUCUCGGCCUAACAUGUGAAUGUUCUCAAUUUUUCUGAAUAAAAUUUAAAGUUCCUGAAAA
Molecule: long non-coding RNA, 429 nt
Organism: Erinaceus europaeus (western European hedgehog)
Lineage: Eukaryota; Metazoa; Chordata; Mammalia; Eulipotyphla; Erinaceidae
Exons: 2
Source: RefSeq, a predicted model, not a curated record